GGAUCUUUAGCUCAGUAGGUAGAGCGUGCGGCUCAUAACCGCUUGGUCACAGGUUCGACUCCUGUAAGAUCCA
RNAcentral lists this transfer RNA (73 nucleotides) under Paenibacillus polymyxa SC2. It matches the Rfam family "tRNA". From Rfam's summary of the family: Transfer RNA (tRNA) molecules are approximately 80 nucleotides in length. The record is from Rfam by way of RNAcentral. Lineage: Bacteria; Bacillati; Bacillota; Bacilli; Caryophanales; Paenibacillaceae.